RNAcentral lists this ribosomal RNA (253 nucleotides) under uncultured bacterium. RNAcentral describes it as "partial 16S ribosomal RNA". It matches the Rfam family "Bacterial small subunit ribosomal RNA", at positions 524 to 776 of the family's 1533-position model. The record is from RNAcentral.
UACAGAGGGUGCUAGCGUUAAUCGGAAUUACUGGGCGUAAAGCGCACGUAGUCGGCUUUGCAAGUCGGGUGUGAAAUCCCCGGGCUCAACCUGGGAACUGCAUCCGAGACUGCAUUGCUAGAGUAUGGGAGAGGGAAGCGGAAUUUCUGGUGUAGCAGUGAAAUGCGUAGAUAUCAGAAGGAACAUCAGUGGCGAAGGCGGCUUCCUGGACCAAUACUGACGAUCAGGUGCGAAAGCGUGGGGAGCAAACAGG